RNAcentral lists this RNase P RNA (265 nucleotides) under Methanoregula sp. RNAcentral's name for it is "partial RNase P RNA component". It matches the Rfam family "Archaeal RNase P", at positions 1 to 214 of the family's 288-position model. From Rfam's summary of the family: Ribonuclease P (RNase P) is a ubiquitous endoribonuclease, found in archaea, bacteria and eukarya as well as chloroplasts and mitochondria. Its best characterised activity is the generation of mature 5'-ends of tRNAs by cleaving the 5'-leader elements of precursor-tRNAs. The record is from RNAcentral. Lineage: Archaea; Methanobacteriati; Methanobacteriota; Methanomicrobia; Methanomicrobiales; Methanoregulaceae.
GAGAGGGAGAGAGCGGCUGACGGUGACUUAAUUGUCGCUGAGGAAAGUCCCCCCACCCACCGGUCACGCAGCCGUACGCAAGUACGGGUGGCGAGAGUCACGGCUAUGGCACAGAAACGACACGGCCUGUUUAUAGCAAUGAUGCGAUUGAGCCGUAAGGCAAGAAGCACAGGCAACUGUGUGAGUAACUCGCUGAGCGUCUGACAAACAGGAUACGUUGGAACGACGAAUCCCUGCGGGUGCAAGCCAGAACAGGGCCAGUGGA